AACUUUCAACAACGGAUCUCUUGGUUCUGGCAUCGAUGAAGAACGCAGCGAAAUGCGAUAAGUAGUGUGAAUUGCAGAAUUCAGUGAAUCAUCGAAUUUUUGAACGCACAUUGCGCCCCUUGGUAUCCCGAGGGGCAUGCCUGUUCGAGCGUCAUUU
This 157-nucleotide ribosomal RNA is filed under the name fungal sp. MUT 5383. RNAcentral describes it as "5.8S ribosomal RNA". It matches the Rfam family "5.8S ribosomal RNA". From Rfam's summary of the family: 5.8S ribosomal RNA (5.8S rRNA) is a component of the large subunit of the eukaryotic ribosome. It is transcribed by RNA polymerase I as part of the 45S precursor that also contains 18S and 28S rRNA. The record is from RNAcentral. Lineage: Eukaryota; Fungi.